This 734-nucleotide long non-coding RNA is filed under the name Helianthus annuus (common sunflower). Its description in RNAcentral is "sRNA HanXRQr2_Chr16g0761931". The record is from RNAcentral. Lineage: Eukaryota; Viridiplantae; Streptophyta; Magnoliopsida; Asterales; Asteraceae.
UUGCCAAUAGAAGCCAUUUAUAAAAUGAAGCUUAUAACAUACACUUUGGUUUUUUUAUCUCCUUUGAUGGUAAUAAUUAGGUACAACAUUAUACAAUAUCUAAAGAGAUGCUUUCUUCCUAGUCUUGACUUUUUCUUCUUACCCAUGAGCAUCUAGUUACAAAAUAAUGGCACAAUGGUUACAAAAUAUCCGGAGGUGCCUUUUUUCUAGUCCUGAGUUUUUCUUCUUGUCCUUAAGCAUCUGGGUAGCGGAUUCUUUUGGUGUUGUUGAUUGCGAGUAAAGUUUCAUAGGUAUAAUGUUGUAAUACUGUUGUAGUAUCUGUAGUUAGGAAUAGACCUGGUUUCGUGAAGGACAGUUGUCGUUUAGUUGGGAAGGUUGCUUAUUGAUUCGAUCGCUACUCCUUUUGCACAACAGGUGUUGAUGAUGGUGGGGUACUAUGUGUGUUUGGUAGUGGUUGUGUAAUGAAUGCCAUGUUAACUUGUUAACUGCUAGAACGUUUGAGCCUGGUAUUUGGGACUUGAUGUAUCAAAGCAUACUUCUAAUGUAACAUGCGUGAAACCCGGUCACAUGUUCCGCCUUCGUUUGUGCAUGUCCCACAUUUCUAAAAGAGACAUAACUCCUUCCUUUAAUGUAGAUCUCCGGCCCUCGUUGAAGUUCCAUAGCUCGGUUGUCACAUAUGCUCCACUCGGAUUGUAAUCGUUUAUUUCUGUUAACACAGUAGCCACAGCUUUAUA